Molecule: ribosomal RNA, 25 nt
Filed under: Lactarius acatlanensis
Lineage: Eukaryota; Fungi; Basidiomycota; Agaricomycetes; Russulales; Russulaceae
Description: partial 28S ribosomal RNA
Source: RNAcentral
ACCUCAAAUCGGGUGAGACUACCCG